This 568-nucleotide small RNA is filed under the name Pan troglodytes (chimpanzee). RNAcentral's name for it is "processed transcript". Lineage: Eukaryota; Metazoa; Chordata; Mammalia; Primates; Hominidae. The record is from RNAcentral.
AGGGUUUUGGAAUGGUGGCUGUGGGUUUGGUUCCCUUGGCACCACAUCUGGGUCAUGCAUGUGCUUGUGACCAGCUUUUACUCCACGUGCAGGCAGUACUCUUAAAGAGUGAUUUUUUUUUUUUUUUUGUGAGACAGAGUCUUGCUCUGUCACCCAGGCUGGAGUACAGUGGUGCGAUCUGGGCUCACUGCAACCUCCACCUCCCGGGUUCAAGCGAUUCUCCUGCCUUAGCUUCCCGAGUAGCUGGGAUUACAGGCGCCUGCUACCAUUCCCAGCUAAGGAGUGAUUUUCUCUGAGAGGGACAUUUGCUGUGAAAGUGGGACCAGGGAGAUUGGAUCUGCUCUCACCAGGAUGUGCAUGAGGCACAGAAGCAUUGAAGCCAAGCUGAGGCAGUUUUCGAGCGCUUUAAUUGAUUGUCUGAUAAACCCACUUCAAGAACAGAUGGAAGAAUGGAAGAAAGUGGCCAACCAGCUGGAUAAAGACCACGCAAAAGAAUAUAAGAAAGCCCGCCAAGAGAUAAAAAAGAAGUCCUCGGAUACGCUGAAACUGCAGAAGAAAGCAAAAAAAG